CUUUAUUUGUGAAUUAAUGCUAACAUGGUUUCAUGUUAAGAUAAGUAGGAAACUAUCCUAGUGUCUUAACAAUUUUUCAAUCCGAUCACAUGGAGAAAAGUGUUAGCCUCCGUUUUGGAAAAUACACCCUCAUUUUAUAUAUAUACAUAUA
This is a long non-coding RNA of Octopus sinensis (East Asian common octopus), 151 nucleotides long. RefSeq lists it as uncharacterized. NCBI's taxonomy places the organism in Eukaryota, Metazoa, Mollusca, Cephalopoda, Octopoda, Octopodidae. The transcript is spliced from 3 exons. The record is from RefSeq and is a predicted model, not a curated record.